Molecule: long non-coding RNA, 1103 nt
Filed under: Carassius auratus (goldfish)
Lineage: Eukaryota; Metazoa; Chordata; Actinopteri; Cypriniformes; Cyprinidae
Description: lncRNA (ENSCARG00000032047.1)
Rfam family: Metazoan signal recognition particle RNA (bases 711-911)
Source: RNAcentral
GCAGGAUUGAACUGACAUGAGGGAAAGUACAUUUUUGGUUGAACUGAAGUUUUUUACAUUUCUUUUCCAGUGGAAGUCCAGACAAUAUAGGCCUAUAUUAUACAUUUCUAUCUGGGCACCAAUAAUACUUUGGAAAAGAAAAGAAAAGAAAAGAAACAGAAUAUUCAGACCUCUAAGCUAAAGAACAGUGGCUAUUGAGAAUUUCUCUAGAAAAUGAUAAUAACAAUAAUAAUAAUUCAUCAGUUGAUUAAAAAAAAGUCCAUAAUUGGUUUUCAUGUCGACCAUACAGAAUUGACGGAGGAUGCGGAUGUCAUGGUGGACACAGUGGAAGAUUGGGCACAAGAAUCAUGACUGGAGCGUGUUAUGGAAGGGAUUAUGAUCACUUCCAGAGGAGCGAGAAGGCCACCGUGCAAGACCUGAAUGACCGGCUGAUAUCCUACUUAGAUAAGGUGAAGUUUCUGGAGGAUGCUGAUGCUACUCUGGAGGGACUGUUAUACCUGAAAAUCAUUGACUGCCUUCAGGAUAAGGUACAAAACAGAAGAUUAGAGACAAUCAAGGCAAUUAAGACAAUUUUAAAAUGCAUAGCAAAAAUGAUGUGAGAUUCUAAUAAAUGUGACAUUCAGAUUUUUGCUCUUUACCUUACAGUGAACAAAAUACAAUAAUAUAUAUAUAUAGCUAGAUUGAGUAUCAGCGCUGAUGCUGCAGCUCUCGUCGGGUGCAGUGGCGCGCGCCUGUAAUCCAAGCUGCUGGGAGACUGAGGCUGGCGGAUCGCUUGAGUUCAGGGGUUCUGGGCUGCAGUGGACUAUGUUGAUCAGGAGCACCAUAUCGAUACCGAACUUAGUGUGGACACCUGAUCAACAUAGUCCACUGCAGCCCAGAACCCCUGAACUCAAGCGAUCCACCAGCCUCAGUCUCCCAGCAGCUUGGAUUACAGGCGCGCGCCACUGCACCCGACGAGAGCUGCAGCAUCAGCGCUGAUACUCAAUCUAGCUAUAUAUAUAUAUAUAUAUAGUAUUGUAUUUUGUUCACUGUAAGGUAAAGAGCAAAAAUCUGAAUGUCACAUUUAUUAGAAUCUCACAUCAUUUUUGCUAUGCAUUUUAAAA